This 360-nucleotide ribosomal RNA is filed under the name Triticum aestivum (bread wheat). Its description in RNAcentral is "partial small subunit ribosomal RNA". The record is from RNAcentral. Lineage: Eukaryota; Viridiplantae; Streptophyta; Magnoliopsida; Poales; Poaceae.
AUGGGUAUCCCGGGGUCACGAAGGAGACCUCAGGCUAGCCGGGGGCCGCAAACUACCCGGGUGACUGAUCCUUAUUGCGCUGAACUGUUAGCUGUCAGGGAGGCUGUGCGUCUGGCUAUGGAGAAGGGCUGGACGUGGGUGACCGUCGAGACGGACUGCAAAACUGUUGUACAGGAGUAUAUGGCAACGGAGUGCAGAUCGACUGGAAGCCCGAUUGUCAGCGAGAUUAGAUCAUAUCUCCAAAACUUUCAGGGUUUCAGACUUAAUUAUGUUAGUAGAGAGGCCAAUAAUGUAGCUCACUGGUGCGCCAGAGAGAGCCUAGCUAGCACAUCAUCUGUACUUUCCUUUGAUGUUUCCUAA